Cinara cedri is the source of this 574-nucleotide non-coding RNA. Lineage: Eukaryota; Metazoa; Arthropoda; Insecta; Hemiptera; Aphididae. The record is from the annotation of a GenBank genome assembly.
AGUUGAGUAUCAAAUUAAGUAUUUUGUUCAUCACUAGUUUUAAACUUUUUUUAAUAGAGAAAAAAAUGUUUUUUUUUUCUUUAAUGUAUUAAUGGACACAAAUUAUACAUAUUAUUAUAUGAUAAGAAACCCGACAUAUUUGUUGAGCAAAAAAAAAAAUAGAUAUUAACAUAAAUCAGGAUUAUAAACAUAUUUUAUAGCUUUUAAAAUAGUUAUGCGUACCCAGUGUUGAAUCUAGGUAUAUUGCAGGGAGGGCGAUAACCCCCUGGAAUUUUGUUUCCCUCUCCCCUGUUAUAUGUGGAUAAAUUAAUAAUUAAACAAAUAUGACUGUUUUUAGAAAACCAAAAAAAAAAAGGUCAUUACUAUAAUUUUAGUAAUACCACCCCCAAAAUAAUUUUCUGGAUUCAACUCUGUACGUACGCUAUCAAAAUUAAUUAUAACAAUAAUAACUCGUAAUGUAUUACUUAAAUACAUAAUACAUAAUAUCAUAAUUAUCAUCAAAAUGUAAUAUCCAAGAAAACAUAAAAAUAUAAUAUUAAUUGUAAAUAAUGGUUUAAAGUAAACAAAUAAAUAG